RNAcentral lists this ribosomal RNA (377 nucleotides) under uncultured bacterium. Its description in RNAcentral is "bacterial SSU rRNA". It matches the Rfam family "Bacterial small subunit ribosomal RNA", at positions 523 to 898 of the family's 1533-position model. The record is from RNAcentral.
AUACGUAGGUGGCAAGCGUUGUCCGGAAUUAUUGGGCGUAAAGCGCGCGCAGGUGGUUCCUUAAGUCUGAUGUGAAAGCCCACGGCUCAACCGUGGAGGGUCAUUGGAAACUGGGGAACUUGAGUGCAGAAGAGGAAAGUGGAAUUCCAAGUGUAGCGGUGAAAUGCGUAGAGAUUUGGAGGAACACCAGUGGCGAAGGCGACUUUCUGGUCUGUAACUGACACUGAGGCGCGAAAGCGUGGGGAGCGAACAGGAUUAGAUACCCUGGUAGUCCACGCCGUAAACGAUGAGUGCUAAGUGUUAGAGGGUUUCCGCCCUUUAGUGCUGCAGCAAACGCAUUAAGCACUCCGCCUGGGGAGUACGACCGCAAGGUUGAA